GACGAACGCUGGCGGCGUGCUUAACACAUGCAAGUCGAACGGUGAAGCGCCUUCCUUUUUGGUGGGUGUGGAUGAGUGGCGAACGGGUGAGUAACACGUGAGUAACCUGCCCCCUUCUUCUGGAUAACCGCAUGAAAGUGUGGCUAAUACGGGAUAUUCUGGGUCUGUCGCAUGAUGGGUCUGGGAAAGAUAUUGUUUCGGUGGGGGAUGGGCUCGCGGCCUAUCAGCUUGUUGGUGGGGUGAUGGCCUACCAAGGCGGUGACGGGUAGCCGGCCUGAGAGGGUGGACGGUCACACUGGACUGAGACACGGCCCAGACUCCUACGGGAGGCAGCAGUGGGGAAUAUUGCACAAUGGGCGCAAGCCUGAUGCAGCGACGCCGCGUGAGGGAUGGAGGCCUGCGGGUUGUGAACCCCUUUCGCCAGUGAAGCAGGCCUGCCUCGUUUGUGGGUGGGUUGACGGUAGCUGGAGAAGAAGCGCCGGCUAACUACGUG
Molecule: ribosomal RNA, 493 nt
Filed under: uncultured bacterium
Lineage: Bacteria
Description: partial 16S ribosomal RNA
Rfam family: Bacterial small subunit ribosomal RNA
Source: RNAcentral